UACAGAGGGUGCAAGCGUUAAUCGGAAUUACUGGGCGUAAAGCGUGCGUAGACGGUUACAUAAGUCGGGUGUGAAAUCCCCAGGCUUAACCUGGGAACUGCAUUCGAGACUGCAUUGCUAGAGUAUGGGAGAGGGAAGUGGAAUUUCCGGUGUAGCGGUGAAAUGCGUAGAUAUCGGAAGGAACAUCAGUGGCGAAAGCGACUUCCUGGACCAAUACUGACGCUCAUGUGCGAAAGCGUGGGGAGCAAACAGG
This 253-nucleotide ribosomal RNA is filed under the name uncultured bacterium. RNAcentral's name for it is "partial 16S ribosomal RNA". It matches the Rfam family "Bacterial small subunit ribosomal RNA", at positions 524 to 776 of the family's 1533-position model. The record is from RNAcentral.